UUGAUUGUUGUUUAUAUCCUUUUCAAGUGGAGAUAUCUUCUUUAGACAAAAUAUCCGAAAACUUCAUCAUGUCAACAGUUACUGAAAGGUGACCUCGAAUCAUCUUUCGUAGCAGUCCGUGUCAACCUGGAUGAGUGACAAGCAAGAUGGUGUCCAAUAAGUGGAUAAUUAUAUGGAUUGCACUCUUUAAUCUACUUAUAGACAAAGCUUUCGGAGGCAUCUACUAUGAAGGACUGACUGGUACCAAUCUUUCCUGCUACACGUGUAAGGAAAGUUACAAAAUCACGCCAUACGACCCAACAGCCCACACCUGCCAGUCAAACCUUCCCAAAGUAGACAUCAUCUCCUGCGGCAUGAAAGAUAAAUACUGCAAGGUUGAGAGGGUCGAGCUUCAAGGUGUGAAGAUCAGCAUUGAAAGAAGCUGUACGGA
Lineus longissimus is the source of this 430-nucleotide long non-coding RNA. RefSeq lists it as uncharacterized. The transcript has 3 exons. The record is from RefSeq and is a predicted model, not a curated record. NCBI's taxonomy places the organism in Eukaryota, Metazoa, Nemertea, Pilidiophora, Heteronemertea, Lineidae.